AGGGCUGCAGUAUAUUGACUGUACAAAGGUAGCAUAAUCAUUAGUCAUUUAAUUGAUGACUUGUAUGAAGGAUUUGAUGAGAUAUAAACUGUCUCUUAUUUAAUUAUAAAAUUUAAUUUUUUUAUUAAAAAGUUAAAAUAUCUUAAAAAGACGAGAAGACCCUAUAGAGUUUAAUAAAUUAUUAGAUUGAGAUUAUAUGUAAAACAAAUUUAAAAUAAAAUUAUUUAUUUUGUUGGGGUGACAAAAAAAUACAUUAAACUUUUUUUUAUUUUAAAACAUUUAUAAGUGAUUAAAUGAUCCAAUAAUAUUGAUUAAGAGAAAAAAUUACCUUAGGGAUAACAGCGUAAUUUUUUUUUUUAGUUCAAAUAAGAAAAAGAGUUUGCGACCUCGAUGUUGGAUUAAGAUAAAAUUUAAA
RNAcentral lists this ribosomal RNA (415 nucleotides) under Acrapex albivena. Its description in RNAcentral is "partial 16S ribosomal RNA". Lineage: Eukaryota; Metazoa; Arthropoda; Insecta; Lepidoptera; Noctuidae. The record is from RNAcentral.